CCUCCCCACGGGUCGAUGCGCUCACAGGCAGCCCACAGAAACAAUCCAUCGCCACCCACCCACGACUCCCUCACCCCGGCUAGGGUUCCUAGCCCCUCCUCCUCAGCCGCCGCUGCAUGUUCCUCGCUGGCCUCGCCCGGGCACCUCCCGGACCUCGCCGGGAGAAGCCAGCCAACGCCGCUUCCGACCUCGCCGGGAGAAGCCAGCAGGACCCCGCCGCCAUGCCUCCCUCUCCCCCUUAUCCUCUUUUCCGCUACCUAUCUCUUUCCUCUGAACCUGAUUGGGGUGCUGCGACUGGCCUCCACUCCAGAUCCGUCCGCCUUUGAUCCCGUAUCCUCCCUGGCUCCCUCCCGACGGGAUCCGACCUCGACAACUGCACACGGGUGCGACGGGAUCCACCACUCUAGCGAGCAGGAGUAGCACGGUGGCUGUGGUCUGCUCAGACCCCCGACUGACGACGUGAGGCGUGCGGUGGUCUGCAGCAAGGAUAUCCUUCCAUGGCUGGACGCACUCUUCAUCUAAAUCAUGUCUCUAAACAUGCUGCCGUUAAGGAGCAGUUUCAUCUUGAGCACCGCAGUCAUGCAUGCUACUCUCAUCGACUAAGCACUUGCUACUAACAUAAAUAAUGCCUCCUACGCUGGACAUCACUACUAAAGAGGUACUGUCGGUGAGUAUCACUGUUUAGUUUUUUAUAGUCUAUAGAUUUAUUUAUACGGACAGUGCAGAUUCAUCUAUUACUUCGGCUAAUGUGACUGUAGCAACAUUCACUCCAUCUACAAUAUUCAUUUUGUUCACCUGAACAUUGAAUUAAGGAAUACAGAAGGUUCAGGGUUUAUGCAAAUUAUUGAAAUUUAAUAUUUGUGGACAAUGGAGAAACACAGGCGGCAGUGUUGAAUUUACACCCGUUGUUGCACCUGCAUCUUUUCGGCAUCCUUAGCACGAUAAGCCCAAACACGAAGAUUAUAUGCCGCCUUGGAUUUGUGUGGCUGUUAACUUGUUGUCAUCAAACACUUUUUUUCCUUAAUAUGUGCAGCUUUUUUGGGCCGUCCAUGGAUGCAAAGGAAUCCCAUGAGUACAAUGUACACUGACAUCAUCUUCAUCAAAUUCUUCAAGCUCAGCAAGUGUGAGGUAACUAAUGCAUGUGUAUUAUCUAUUUCAUCGAAGUGUAAGAUUUCUCCUCUUCUCUUGUUUGUGUUCAAUGGUUGUUGUGGUUUUUUGUUUUGCGUUUCAACAGUGACAUGUAUCCUGAUUAGGCACUUGCAUAGGUACUGUGUAGAGCUGGAACUUCUAAUAAAAAAUGACAUAUGCAGUGAAGCAAAGGAGAGAGACUGCAACCUUUUCAGGCCUGAAUCUAUCCCCAUUCUGAAUCUACUUGGUUAUUGAUUCUCAUUUUCAGCAUAUGAAAACCAAAUGCUAUUUUUUUUCUAUGCUCUCCUCUUCGGCUCUUCCUUUAUGAUUCAGCAUAUGCUAACUGCUACUGUAGCUUUCAUGCUUAUAUCCUUGGUUAUAUUUUACAGCGAUCCAAAUCAAGGAUUUGUGUUGAUAUCCGAAGUUCCUAAUGACGAUUGGUUCUUAUUAGUUUCUUUAAAGGAAGAACAACAAGUGGUUGUACUAGGAAGAUUACCUUGACAUGGGAGUUUCUUUUUUCUAACGAACAAGGGAGUCUUUAUUAUUUCACUUGAAAAGAUGAUGUACGCAUUUAAAGUGUAGAAUUUCCAUUUGUAUAUUCAUAUUGUGCUUAACUUUUACUUUCUAAAAAUCAAUAUUGGCUGGCGGUUUGGCCGAUUAUUUAAGAAAUAAAAACCUUAGGUGUUGAUCCCUUUGAUCUCUAGCCAUAUGACUUCCCAUUCAAGAUAUGACAGGGCAUGGAUGUGAUACACCCACAUACAGAGAUGUGGAGGUGUAAAGUUGGGACGAGCAGGCUUGUAGAUGAAGUGUUUGUACUUAUGGCUCAACAAAACUGACUACUCUAGCCUUGCCCCCAUUAGUGUAGUGUUAUUAUCGUCCGUCCCAUGUUUUGUUGAAAGAUCUUCCAGAUUCAUGACCCGCCUUAAAAAAUGUACAAUGCAAAUACAACCAUUUAUCGUUACAGGUGAGGGAUUUAGUGCAGAAAGUUACUUUACAAGUAGUCUCAAGCUGGAGGAUAACAGAUUGGUUGAGACAUUAGGGAUCCCCAUCAAUGUUAUAUUAUUUGUCUGCAGGUAUAUUCUCAGCUCCAAAUUCUAGAUAUUAUAGUGAGUAGAUGAGGUGAAAGUAUGCGCAACAUAGUUCUGCGGUGUUAAACCCCACGUAGCACGAUGGUGGUUGUAUGCUGCCAUGGAGGAAUUAAAGGCGCAUGUUGAUUAAAAGAAUAGGUGUAAGUAAGGAGUGGUUGGGCUCACUAACAUUGUCGAGUAAUCUCAUGAUCUGCUCAUGAUUAAUUUAGUAGCCCAAUUUGUUUUCUCAAAAGGUACAGUAUUGUUAUGGUAAAAGCUACACUUUGUGGCCUCAAAUAGAAUUCAGUUUUGUAGAUUGAUAUCCAUUAGAAAAAAAUAUAGAUUUAUUUCUGAUUCUGUCAUAUUAAUUAACUUGCUUCAGAAACAGAGAAGAGCCAUGGUUUGUUGUUGCUUGAGAUGCAUAUGUCGGCAAUGUUGUAAAAGGACAGACCCAGUGCAUAGAAGCUCCCACACAAGGUGGGGUCUGGGGAGGGAUUAUAGGAACCUAGUCUUACCCCUGCAAAGUGCAAUGCAGAGAGGCUGGUUCGAACCCAGGACCUCUUGAUGUCGGCAAUGUUGUGUUUUCUUAUUUUAUAAAGGUUGUUGUUGGAUGAGCCAAACAGUGGAAAAAGUGGCUUAUGGGACAAUUUUAGUUCAUUGGAUCAAUUGUAGAUAUCACGUGCCAUUUUUAUGUUCACGUCGUCAUUAGAUCAGUUGUAGAACAGCCCACACAGCUUGUGUUCUUUUCAAAACAAACAUACCCUGAUACAUGACAAAGUUGUAGCGUUGAUCUCAAAAUUAUGCUUCUAUGGUGUACAAUAUACACUAUAGACCUAAGAGCGGGUAGCUUCAGCUUGCUUCUGUAGUAUGCUUUCUCAAUGAUAAUCUAGCCCAUGCUUGAUUAUAUUACAGAUUAAUCCUGUUGAAAGCUAUAUUAAAUCCUACUUUUGAAAGCUAUACAUUUAGAUAUUUUGAUUUUUGUAAUGUUCUGCAUGCAUUUUUACUCAGGAUAAUGUCGCAUUGGAAGCGUGGUUAUACUUGACAAUUAGCAGGUAGAUGCGAGCAGGUAGGAUGGGAUAUUUCGCCGACGGCCAGGUGGAUGAUAAGACCGAAGAGGAAGGCCGCACCAGGCAUGCAUAGAUGAUGCAUGCCUCUGCACAUUUGUGGUGGAAUGGUGCUAGCUUGAGGCAAUUACGCAUAGUCUUUUUGGACAGGUUGUCGACAGAGAAAAAUAUAUAAUUUGGCGUGAGGAAUAACAUAGCCAGGCAUGCUGGUACUAUAAGUUGUGUUACAUAGAAACAAAAUUUGUUUGUUUGCUUGAGUGAAUAUGUCUAAUGUAUACACAAAGAUUCAAUUAUGUGUUUCAAAUUUGAAGUAUGUGGUUGUUUCAGUGCUAGAUACAUCAGUUUGAGCGCCAACUAAUUCCGGACGAAGGAAGUACAUGACAUCCCUCUUAACGGAAUAAAAGGCCACAACUUCACCACAUAUAUAGUGUAACUAAAUCUCAUGUUUCAUGCUCUGACUUAUGUACUAAAUUCUAUUAACAUGGCUACAGAUUUUUUGGUUGUAUUUAAUAUCCCUCUAUAACAUCUUUAGUUAUCAAACAUGCCAGCAUUCACGUGAAUGUUGGUAAAAUAUUCCUGUCCAUUUUGGUUCAGUAUCAAUUAAUGUAUUUUUCAUUAGAUAAUAGGCAGUGUGGGUGGCGGAAUGGCAAGGAGUCCGAUCAGAUGUCUUGGGUCCGUGGGGAGUUGUGGCUCUCAACUACAACAACAUCAUCAAGGCAACCUAUAUUGGUUGAUCAAUUGCUAACAGCCUAACACAGCAUGUUUUGAAUUGCAUUUAUUUCUGAUUAAAAGUAGCAGUUUCUGCUGUUGUAUUAAGAUUUCAACGAGAAUCUAGAAUUGGCUCUAAGGGAGCAAGGGUGUUCGGCGCCUGGAGGAGCUUUCAUGUUCAAGGAUCUCGCCCUCGCCGUCGAGACCAACGGGGUCGUCGCCGAGUACAUCUGGAUGACAUGAAGCAUUUGGCACCGACGCUCACCUCUUUGACAAGCCAUGCUUUCUGGGUUUGCUUGCAGUUCAGGUUUGGUCACUUGAUUUCCUGCCCAACUCCUCUAAUAAUCGAGUAUGAUCAACUAAUCCAUGUUUGUUUUACCUUUGCAUAAUUAUUUUGAGAAUGGGGUGAGCUGCGCCCAUGGUAGCCCACUGUCAUAGCCUGGCAAUAUGCCACUGAAAUUGCCGGAAUAGAAAACAUGUCCACAAUCAGACAUGUCUAUGUCAGUUCCUCUACUCUCCAGCUUAAGACCAUAAAUGGGAGGCAAACUCACCUUCAUAUGAACAAGCACAUGCCCACAUUCACCUUUCUGUAAAUGGGAGACAUUAUACUCUUUUUAUUAUUAGCUUAGUCUUUGUUGACCUGAAGAAGUAGCUUACUUCCGAACACAUAUGUCACUAGAAUAACAAGGUGAAAUCUUGAUUUUUCUUGCUACAAAGAGAUGGCAUCAUAAUUAAAUUUCAAUAUCAUCAAUCCAAUCACGAAUCCUGAUUUUUUAUUUUUUGAAUACGCGAAUAAAUUCACUUUUGGUCCGUUUGGUAACUUUCUAAUUGCCUUCUUACACCCCAUGGCGGAUAUGUGUAUGAAAUUGUGAUCGGCUAUAAACAUGAAAAAUUACGAAUCAAAUAGUAGACCGUACUUCAUGUGUGCAUUGAGAGGAGGCGUAAGGAUCACGUGAUAUAUACCAUUUCAUAUAUCACGGUAACAAAACACGCUGUGGUGGUCGCCCUUGGAUGACGGCGUGCAUUCCAUGGCACUGGGAAAUCGCACUAGGAUGGCGUAGAGGGGGAGGGCGACACUAUGGAUAGAAGGAGACACGACACUGGAAUUUCGUGGCGCUCCUUGAUGCCAACAACAUCAGGGAGGAGAGAAGCUAGGGGGAUCAGAUAUGAGUUUGAGCAUUGUUGUGGAAUGCGAUAUGAGGGUGAGCAUUGUGCCAUACGAUGAGAGAAGGAGAGAGUGAAUUGCUCUUUUAGAAUAAAAAGAAAAGGAGCGACACUUUUUUAGGGAAAACGUUUGACUGCUAUGAGAGAAAUGUCACAUACUUUUAUAUAGUGAUAUAGGGAAAGCGGUAGUUUGGUGUGAGAAAAAUGUCACAUAUUUUAAUAUAGUUGAAAACAUCAGAUACCCUUUUUUGCGGAGGGAAAACAUCAGAUACACUAACAAGUCAUGUUUAGAAUGGAACGGACCAAAAAAGUAUCGAGUUUUAACAAUCAUAAGAGAUGCAUACAAAUAAUGGUUCUUAAUAUAUUUGUUACGCAUGAUAAUACAAAAGGUGUGUUUAUAUAUAUUCUUAAUAUAUUUAUUUAUUUUUGUAGUGUAUAAGAGAGAUAAAGAUGGAUUAUGUCGACAUUCAAAAAAAUCCCAUAGGUGACAUUGGUGUAGAGGUGAUGUCGCUGAAAGAGGUAAAAAAUUCACUGAGAUUUACACAACAAAAGGCCCGUUGGCCUAGGGUUAAGUAAUGGGGCAUUUUAGUUAAUCAUGCGGGCCUAGGGUUUUCUAACUCAAAGAAAAGUCAGGGAAUCCAUCAGUUAAAGUCUGGCUUCAAUCCAAACACGCUGUCAGACUUUUAGGCCAUGGGAUCAGUAAAUCGAGAAGGAGAGAGGCCUUUGACUUUCCAGCCAUGACCUCGCUAGAUCGAGAGAGAGGAAGAGAUCAGUCAGGGGUGGCGGUGGCUCAGGAGCGCGAGUGCGGCGGAGGCCAUAGGGCAUGAGCGAGCAUGGAGAAGGGACCAGAGGUAGGAUGCGGAAGGUGGAGCAUCAUCCGUGGUGCGACACCGUGCGGCAGUCGUCUGAGGUGUCGUGCAGGUGGAGCGAGGCCGUUGGGAGUGAUGAAGGGCAGCGUAGGCAAAGGAGAUCCCAUGCAAAUUAAGAAUGAAACGUUGAUUGGUAUAUGACAAUCUGCUUUUCUUUCUGCUCUACAUUUUUAGAAACUCUGUACGAAACUGGUGCACAUUGGUUCUGGGUUGGUAUAUUUCCUUAUGUAGCCUUUGUACGGGUAAAUCAGACAGAGAUGGGGACUAUAGGUGGCCUCUCUUUUUACCCAACACUGUUAUUGUUAAUGAGUCUAACAGUGAACUGACUACAUCUCCACCUUUUCACCUUUGUUACAGAGAUUCUCAAAGGUACAAAAUAUUACGUCGGCACUUUAAGUCUCCCAUUUUGAUUGCCGUGAUUUGCAAUUUCUUUGUGGGGGCAGUAGUAAGCUCUCGUGCCAUUACGUUGUUGCCAGGUGUUCUCCUGUGAUUGUUCUAGCGAAGGUUCUCGAAAACGGCAUAGCCAUUUAUGUUGCUUCUAUUAGGUGUGGCUGACAUUGAUGGGGGCAAUUUGGGCACACGAAAGUCCCUUAAAAUCGAGACAAAUCCUACGUUGGAACCAUCUCAAUGUUCUUUGCCAGCUUCGUCGCAUUGAGCCUGUGUAUAUACUAUUCGAUCUUGAAGCCCCAAGUCAUUUUCUGUUCCCAUGAUUAUUUAGCAAAUGCAGAAAACAUUUUCGAUUAUAUUAUAUGUACAUUGUUGGGUAGUAGUUUUUCCCACUAGAUCUGAAUAUUAGAAAGGAUAUAUCUUGUAGCUGGUCAGACUCAGAAUCAUGUCAUGAUCUCUUAAGGGCCUAAUGAUUGUUGUUGUUUUUUCCUUUCAAAAAUUAAAACUCCUAGGUGAUUAUCAUAACUAUCAUAAUUGUACAAGCAAGAUUAUCAGAAUAACUAAGCAACUAUUUCUUCGGAUUAAGUACAGAGUUUAGGGUGUUUUUUUUUUGCAGAUUUAUAGUGCCUAUUUUUUUAGGAGAUUUAUAGUGCCUAUUUUGAAUCAACAAGGACAAUGAUAUUGCAAGGCUUGAAAUUUUAGACUCACUUUUUAUGCCAAGCUGGAAAAUUGAUAUGUCUUAUGAUUAUAUAUGCAACCAGUAUUUUUUUUUGAAAUGCCAGUGGCAACGCAUCUGUUACACCUUUGGCAUGAAAUUUUCAUACUAAUUACAUAUAUUGUUUGUGCAGGAUAGGUAUGAGUUGAGGAAGCGGUUUUUAUUAUACUUGCUAAAACAUCGUGGGAAUGAAGCUAAAGGCAACUUUCCUGAUAUUGUGAAAGAAUUUCUUAAGCGCAUCAUCUAGAUAUUGAUAGUUUUGUAAUAGAUGUUUAGUUGGAACAUCGCUUAGUUUGUUACAUGGACAUGUUGUUAAUUUUUCUUUUUCUUAUCAAUUUACAUUGCAAAAAUGGACUUCAAUUAUUCAAUAAUUAUGUUUGUGUUA
Triticum aestivum (bread wheat) is the source of this 7487-nucleotide long non-coding RNA. RefSeq lists it as uncharacterized. The record is from RefSeq and is a predicted model, not a curated record. Lineage: Eukaryota; Viridiplantae; Streptophyta; Magnoliopsida; Poales; Poaceae. The transcript has 4 exons.